AGUGAACGCUGGCGGUAGGCCUAACACAUGCAAGUCGAACGGCAGCACAGUAAGAGCUUGCUCUUACGGGUGGCGAGUGGCGGACGGGUGAGGAAUACAUCGGAAUCUACUUUUUCGUGGGGGAUAACGUAGGUAAACUUACGCUAAUACCGCAUACGACCUACGGGUGAAAGCAGGGGAUCUUCGGACCUUGCGCGAUUGAAUGAGCCGAUGUCGGAUUAGCUAGUUGGCGGGGUAAGGGCCCACCAAGGCGACGAUCCGUAGCUGGUCUGAGAGGAUGGUCAGCCACACUGGAACUGAAACACGGUCCAGACUCCUACGGGAGGCAGCAGUGGGGAAUAUUGGACAAUGGGCGCAAGCCUGAUCCAGCCAUACCGCGUGGGUGAAGAAGGCCUUCGGGUUGUAAAGCCCUUUUGUUGGGAAAGAAAAGCAGCAGGUUAAUACCCCGCUGUUCUGACGGUACCCAAAGAAUAAGCACCGGCUAACUUCGUG
This 492-nucleotide ribosomal RNA is filed under the name uncultured bacterium. RNAcentral's name for it is "partial 16S ribosomal RNA". It matches the Rfam family "Bacterial small subunit ribosomal RNA", at positions 29 to 507 of the family's 1533-position model. The record is from RNAcentral.